This 546-nucleotide ribosomal RNA is filed under the name uncultured Glomeromycotina. RNAcentral's name for it is "SSU rRNA". It matches the Rfam family "Eukaryotic small subunit ribosomal RNA", at positions 548 to 1098 of the family's 1831-position model. The record is from RNAcentral. Lineage: Eukaryota; Fungi; Glomeromycota.
UUGGAGGGCAAGUCUGGUGCCAGCAGCCGCGGUAAUUCCAGCUCCAAUAGCGUAUAUUAAAGUUGUUGCAGUUAAAAAGCUCGUAGUUGAAUUUCGGAAUCAGUACGUUGGUCGUGCCUUAGGUACGUACUGGUGUUACUGGUUUCUACCUUCUGACGAACCAUCAUGUCAUUCAUUUGGUGUGGCGGGGAAUCAGGACUGUUACUUUGAAAAAAUUAGAGUGUUUAAAGCAGGCUCGCGCUUGAAUACAUUAGCAUGGAAUAAUGAAAUAGGACGUUGAUCCUAUUUUGUUGGUUUCUAGGAUUGACGUAAUGAUUAAUAGGGAUAGUUGGGGGCAUUAGUAUUCAAUUGUCAGAGGUGAAAUUCUUGGAUUUAUUGAAGACUAACUACUGCGAAAGCAUUUGCCAAGGAUGUUUUCAUUAAUCAAGAACGAAAGUUAGGGGAUCGAAGACGAUCAGAUACCGUCGUAGUCUUAACCAUAAACUAUGCCGACUAGGGAUCGGAUGAUGUUAUUUUUAAUGACUCAUUCGGCGCCUUACGGGAAAC